Molecule: ribosomal RNA, 776 nt
Filed under: uncultured Neocallimastigales
Lineage: Eukaryota; Fungi; Neocallimastigomycota; Neocallimastigomycetes; Neocallimastigales
Description: partial large subunit ribosomal RNA
Rfam family: Eukaryotic large subunit ribosomal RNA
Source: RNAcentral
AGAGAGAGACAUGCGCGCAUAUCAAUAAGCGGAGGAAAAGAAACUAACAAGGAUUCCCCUAGUAACGGCGAGUGAAGCGGGAAGAGCUCAAAUUUGAAAUCUUAAAGGGUUUCCCUUUACGAAUUGUAGUUUAAAGAAGUGUUUUCUGUUGAGGUUUUGGUAAAAGUUCUUUGGAAUAGGACAUCAUAGAGGGUGAGAAUCCCGUAUUUGACCUUUACUUUCAACUUUGUGAUACACAUUUCAAAGAGUCGGAUUGUUUGGGAAUGCAGUCCAAAAUGGGUGGUAAAUUUCAUCUAAAGCUAAAUAUUGGCGAGAGACCGAUAGCGAACAAGUACCGUGAGGGAAAGAUGAAAAGAACUUUGAAAAGAGAGUUAAACAGUACGUGAAAUUGUCAAAAGGGAAGCGUUUGACACCAGUGUUGUUUUUCUGAAAAUCAAUUAAAGAACUGUUUAUGCUAAGUUGUUUAGACUUUAUCAGCUAACUGUUUAGUUUUGAGCUUUUCUUUAAUGCACUUUUCAGUUAACAAGUCAACAUCAAUUUCUUUUGCUGUAAAAAAGCUUGAGGAAGGUGGCUUGAGAUUCGUCUUAAGUGUUUAUAGCCUCUUGCCUAUGCAGUCGGAGAGAUUGAGGUCUGCAGCGUAGAUCCUUCGGGGCUAAAUGCAUUUGUGCUAAGUUAUAGCAUUUUAUAGACAACUUGUUGACUAUGAUUUGUCUUGUAGCUUACUCGCUUAUGUUAUUUUACCUACGCUUAGGAUGUUGACGCAUGAGAUAUACGCC